Molecule: ribosomal RNA, 206 nt
Filed under: uncultured bacterium
Lineage: Bacteria
Description: partial 16S ribosomal RNA
Rfam family: Bacterial small subunit ribosomal RNA
Source: RNAcentral
UCCGUAGGCGGAUAUUAAGUCAGGGGUGAAAUCCCAGAGCUCAACUCUGGAACUGCCUUUGAUACUGGGUAUCUUGAGUAUGGAAGAGGUAAGUGGAAUUCCGAGUGUAGAGGUGAAAUUCGUAGAUAUUCGGAGGAACACCAGUGGCGAAGGCGGCUUACUGGUCCAUUACUGACGCUGAGGUGCGAAAGCGUGGGGAGCAAACA